CCUCACUCUCGCAACCAAAUGUUAGUCUGCUUGCAUCUUAUAAACAUGGCUCUUUGCCGACUUUGUUGUACUCCCAAACAUACCUUAAUCAAAACUAGCAUUUAAAAAGUUCAGCAGUUCAUUUCUCUUGCUUUCAGCAGCCUUGUCUUCCUUUGUUUUUUCAAGUUUCAGAAGAAUCUUCUUGCCAGAUACAGCACUGCACAGGACAAUGCUGAUGGUGGAAAAGUUGUUUCCCUUAAAUCUGAUGACGAACCAGUUGUAACUGUGGAUCUUGCUAAAAGCUUUCAUCAGAGUGUUAGUGAGAGUUCUGUGAAGGAAGGAGAUAAUCCAGAUGAGAAAGUGUUGGUCCUGUACAUGUAUUCAGAAAAUGGAGGAAGAAUAGUUGAGUACCACACCUUCCAUCAUUCACGUUUCCCCUCAUUCUCCACCACUGCAGUAAACCCCAGAGGUCAGAACAAAGGGGAAUUAGGUUUAACACCCCACCUAUUGGGUUUGGCACCCCACUUUACUAAAAACGGGAAUUAAAAUUCCGAUUUUAAUACGAAAAAAACGGAAAUUAAAAAACCGUUAUGUGUUUUAGCAUAUGUGGCACAUUUUCAAUCGUUCAUUGCAUAUAAAAAAAAAUCGGAAUUUUAAAUUCCGUUUUGAAAACGGAAAUUUAAUUCCCGUAUUAAAUAAAGUGGGGUGCCAAACCCAAUAGGUGGGGUGGCAAACCCAAAUCCCAGAACAAAGCUCCUCCACCGUCCUCACUUUCGGUCGCUCCGCCGCCGUAUCUCCGGUCACCGCUCGCCGUGCAUAUGUGCUCAUCUUUUGUCGAGCUUCAACGAAACAGGUUCACCUUCUUGCUUCCACGCUUGGUUCGUUUUGUGAGAGUUCUGGUUUGAAGAUAAACAUGACUAAAUCAAAAGCCAUCUCCUCCAAGGGUGUCCACCAUAUUGUGCGUGAAGAAAUUCAGCCAUCAGAUCCAACGAUCCAUUCAAACGAAAACAGCCAAAACAACAGAUCGAUCCAUCCACAAUUCAGAAACAAACAACCACACCCAAAAGGGUAAUGGCGAUGUCGGCAUUUGAAUUGAGGACAGAAACAGGAAUACCCAGAAGGCAAAAUCGAAAGGCAAUUGGAAAAGGGCUUCCAUUAGAUUGUACGAGAACGCGUUUUCUGAUCCAAUUGAUGAUGGAGGCUUUCAUCAUGAUGUAGAAGAUGUGAACCGACGAUGACGCAAGAUACAGUGCAUUUUUGUACCUUAAGCUUCACUUCCCCGAUUUCAUCAUCCAUUUCAGAUUCGUGGCUCCAAUGGUGUACCGACAGAUGAGUUUCCUUUAUCCAAUUCUUCACUCAAUUGAUCGUACAAAUAGUUAACCUACUAAUAUUCAAUCAAUGUCCUACGGGUUAUAGAGUAUAGAGUAAUGGCUUUCUUUCAAUCCCACUCCUAUAAAUACUCCUAUGCUUUUGGAGAGUGUGUGUUCUCAUGGUUAAUCUUUACAUUGUUUUAUUGUUUCAGCCAUGGUUCUUCUGGAGGUUGUAUUCAACCACUCAGGUUUUUUGGAAACCUAAUUUCACUGUUUUAUUUAAAUCCAUUGGCUUUUUUGUUUUAUGAAGACCGUUUGUUGUUUGUUUUCCUUGGUAUGAUGUUUUUAAACUCUGUUGAGAGUUGGAUUUUUUGUCAUUUAGUUCUUCUUGACUGAAGAUUAAAUAGAUUUUAUUUUUAGGCUUUAAUUAAUCUAUGGAUUUUUCAUUUUAGGAUGUGAUUGUUACUCCUAUUUAAUCAUGAUAUUAUAAUUAUACACAACUUCUCACUUGCUAUGAACCUAUUCUUCUAUUUGUUUUCUCUGGUGCAGUCACAAGAAAGAGGACAAGUUGUUUGGCAGAGUUCCACAAUUCAAGAGGAAGUAAAAACUUCUAGAGGUGUUGUCAAGGAAGAAACAAUUAAUAACUUGAUUUUGACUUCAUGUUAUCUGAAACCGUAUUUUGAUUUUGAUUUGAAGACCCUUCCUAAAGCUUACAUUUUAAGCUUUAAGAUUCAAUUUGGGUAUCUGAACCUCCAAGGCAAGAAGGAGUGUUGAGAAGUUAAACAUGGUUUUGGAUGAUGUUUAGAGUAGAUUAGUUUGAUUUGAAUAAGUCAAUUAGAAUCUGCCACUAGCUGUUAGUGGACUAGAUCAGUUCUUUGUUGUUUUCGAUUAUAAGUAACAGUCCCUAAAAUGAAGGAGUAUAUUAUCUCUCAUUUAGUAUUUUUUAGAAAUGAGGUAGCAUCUAUAACUAACUAAAGCUAGAGGGUUUUAAGCAUUGUUCAUCAAAAGAAAUCUGCAAGGGCCGGGUCAAGGGUCGGGUCUUGGAGCGGUUUUUCGAUUACCUAUGCAGGAGAACCCGAUACAGCUGCAAAGUAGGGCAGGUAGCCAGGUACGGCCAAUCUCCUCCUGCAGAUUGCAAUCUUCUGCAAUCUUCCCUCUACCGCAUUUGCCCCUCUCCUUGAGCUUGAAUAUCUGAGAUUGGUUGAUGAUGUUUGCUAUAAAAAUUGGAUCGAGUUUCAUACCCUGGCACACUUGGAUCGGAUAAUUCUACUACGCUUCCUGAUCCGUCGCUCCGGCAGCGGUCACUCGGCGCCGGAUGAACGUCUCCGCCGAGACCCUCUUUUCUGACCCCUAAGGUGUUCGACUAUUUCUCCAAACCAACCGUCCGCGUCGAAAACCAAGCAGGUGCAGAAGCUCACUGGGUCCAAGAAUGUGAGGAUUAAGACCCAGCUUGACCCGAGUUUAGUGGCUAUAAGAAUUGAAUCCGGAGAAAGAGAAAUAGUAGCUGAUUCUUCAUCAAAGGAAAAUAAAGCAUAAGAUGAAAAAAGGAAUGAUUUUAUGCCAGUUUGGUGUAGUUGGAAAGCAACAUGCUCACAGGAGAGAUGCCUCCAAGACUUGGCAAGCAGCUAGGACCAGAAUUAUUGUUUGGAAGAAACCAUUCUGUUCAAUUUAAUUGGUUGGAACUUUACAUAGGUUCUUGAAGGAUCACCCAGAGUUCCUCUUUCACGAUUCUCAUUACAAUACCAAAGUGAAUAGCUGUAUGAAAUGAAUAUUUUAAAUACGAACAGUAUUGAAUUUUCGUCACCUUCUCUGGCAGGUACAAUAAGCUAUGCAACUUUAUGAGGAGAUGAAACAUUUGUUGUGGAUCCUCCAAUUACCCUCUGGAUUUUGAAAUGGAUGCUUGACUGAGAUCUAUGUUUUGAGAGCUCCCAAUCACAACACCACUUGAAUGAGCUGUCUGUGAAUUGAAGGAGAAGAAGAAAUUAGCAUCAGCAAGAAGUAGCAUGUUGAAUUGAAGGAGAUGGAACUAGCAUCACAAGAAGGAAUUGAAGGAGGAUUAGAAAUUAGUAUCAGCAAGAAGUAGCAUGUGGAAUUGAAGGAGAUGGAAGUAGCAUCACAAGAAGUAAUUGAGCAGUUUUCGUUUGAGAGAGAAUGGAAAAAAUGAAGAAAUGUGAGCCAAGUAUAUAUUUGUACUCAUUUAUCUUUAUGUAAAAAACACAAUUAAUUGAUCAUUUUUCCCUUUAUUUUGUAUUAAAAUCCCAUUAUCUGUACUUUGGAGCAUUUUUUUUCCAGCUCCCACAAACGGUUGCUUGAUUUUAAAUAAAAAUGUAUGCUUCAUGAAA
This is a long non-coding RNA of Lotus japonicus, 3631 nucleotides long. RefSeq lists it as uncharacterized. NCBI's taxonomy places the organism in Eukaryota, Viridiplantae, Streptophyta, Magnoliopsida, Fabales, Fabaceae. The record is from RefSeq and is a predicted model, not a curated record. The transcript is spliced from 8 exons.